AAGUCGUAACAAGGUUUCCGUAGGUGAACCUGCGGAAGGAUCAUUGCAAAUCAAAGAUUGGGAAUGGAAUGUUGGUGGCAAAAUGGUUUGAGAGCAAUCUUGAACAAGUUUUGCUACUUUCAUUUCAUUUUCAUAUACGCACAGUGUGCUUAGAUGAGAAGGGUGCAAAUUCUCUUGUCCAUGCCGCUGAUGUUUACGCUUGUUUGUUUGACAAAUCUAUUACAUUUAAAUAUUCAAAACUUUUAACAACGGAUCUCUUGGCUCUU
This 266-nucleotide unclassified non-coding RNA is filed under the name fungal sp. RNAcentral's name for it is "partial internal transcribed spacer region". The stretch from base 1 to 46 matches the Rfam family "Eukaryotic small subunit ribosomal RNA", at positions 1786 to 1831 of the family's 1831-position model. The record is from RNAcentral. Lineage: Eukaryota; Fungi.